UCGGGAAUUUUGGGCAAUGGGCGAAAGCCUGACCCGGCAACGCCGCGUGAGGGAUGAAGUAUUUCGGUAUGUAAACCUCGAAAGAAUGGGAAGAAUAAAUGACGGUACCAUUUAUAAGCUCCGGCUAACUACGUGCCAGCAGCCGCGGUAAUACGUAGGGAGCAAGCGUUGUUCGGAUUUACUGGGCGUAAAGGGCGCGUAGGCGGCGCGGUAAGUCACUUGUGAAAUCUCUGAGCUUAACUCAGAACGGCCAAGUGAUACUGCUGUGCUAGAGUGCGGAAGAGGCAACCGGAAUUCUUGGUGUAGCGGUGAAAUGCGUAGAUAUCAAGAGGAACACCUGAGGCGAGGGCGGGUUGCUGGGCCGACACUGACGCUGAUGCGCGAAAGCCAGGGGAGCAAACG
This 402-nucleotide ribosomal RNA is filed under the name uncultured bacterium. RNAcentral describes it as "bacterial SSU rRNA". It matches the Rfam family "Bacterial small subunit ribosomal RNA", at positions 355 to 774 of the family's 1533-position model. The record is from RNAcentral.